Molecule: long non-coding RNA, 1089 nt
Filed under: Malus domestica (apple)
Lineage: Eukaryota; Viridiplantae; Streptophyta; Magnoliopsida; Rosales; Rosaceae
Description: long non-coding RNA (MDOM_LNC011769)
Source: RNAcentral
UUAGCGCAUGCGGAUGCCCAUAUACAUUGACAUGAUUCAGCAAACAGUAUGCUAAUUUUAUACUAAAUAUAUUUUUAUAUCGAACGUGUAUCUUUCACACAAUGCAUCUAAUACUAAUAACCAAAUAAAUGAUAUAAUAAAGGGAGUUUUAACGAAAAUCUCACGAUACUGUUCACUUUAAUGAAAAACCAUAUUUUUACACUAAAAAGUCAAACCUGAUACUAUUCACUUUACCCUUUAUUUUGUCCUUAUCAUUAAAAUUCAAAGUUUUCAAACUCUUUUCAUUAGUUUUCCUUAUAAUUAAUCCUGAAAUCUUAUUGACAUGUGGACAGUGGGCAUUGGGACGACGCCUGUCCUUUACAUGUACCGGCAAAGCCAUAUGUGGGCAUUGGGACGACACCUGUCCUUUACAUGUACCGGCAAAGCCAUACUCUGAAAAGAUUCCAUUUCUUCUAAUCCAUCAAGUUUGGAGAUAUGAAUUAUUGAAAUUUAAUCAAACAGCUACAAACAUGGGUACAUUUUAAAAGUUAUAAUAACUUUAGCCGUUGAAUCAAAUUUUAGUGAUCUGGAUCCCUGAACUUGGUGGAUUAAGAGGAAGGGAUCCAGAGAGGAUCCUUUUCCCAUACCAUAACACAUAAUAUGAAUAAUAUUUGAGUAUUCAAAGAAUAAAUAAAAUUUUACACUCAAAACGAUUCGUUGUCAAUUUAUAGAACUCUUUUAUGAUUAGAACCGUUCACUUAUGUAAAAAAAUUAAUUAAAAAUAAGGUUUUUUUAUUCAUUGUUCCUAAUGAAAACAGAUGAACAAAAUUGAUAUAAGCAUUACAAAGAGUUUAUGUAUUUGUUAAAAUAGAUUGACUAAACGAUCAUAAUUUUUAAUUUAUUUUUUGGAUAGAUGAUCUUACAAAGUAAUACAUUAUAUGAAUGGUUCUAAUCAUAUAUACAAAACUUUAUAAUUCAAACCCCAAGAAUUUUGAAUAGAAAUUCUUACACUUUUUUAAAUAGCAAUAUCUCCCCCAUACAUAUACAGCAUGGAUGUUUUUUGGAUGCAGAUUCUCUGCCCUCUCACUUCCCGUGCCCUCCUGUUUGUGU